Long non-coding RNA from Sardina pilchardus (European sardine), 2145 nucleotides. RefSeq lists it as uncharacterized. The record is from RefSeq and is a predicted model, not a curated record. Lineage: Eukaryota; Metazoa; Chordata; Actinopteri; Clupeiformes; Clupeidae. The transcript is spliced from 3 exons.
UGUCGCUAGUUUCACACUACUUGAUUUCUCAUGUUGCAGUAAGCUAAACGAUUUCAUCUCUUACGUGACUUGUUGUUCUUGCAGGUAACUGUGUAACCGUCUGACUGAUAAAGAAGUUGUUAAAUGUCUUUACGUUUAGAAACAUAAUCAAAAAAAAUUCAUCCAAGCAGAUGCGAAUAGCCUACAAUGUCAGUACUCAAACCACCAGUAGCAGGCUUAGGACUAGAGUUUGCCAGUCAGACCACUACACCUUUGCCAGCACCACCACCCAGCAAGCUUCAUCAACUCCAGCCAUGCCGAGUUUACCAAUCAGACCUACACCUCUGUCAAAUUCGCUCACAACGCUGCCAGUAACACCCCAGCAAGGUAGAACUGCAUUUUCAUUAAUCUGGCACCAAUAUCAAGGGAGAAACAAGCCAUGAAUGUCUGUCACAACUUCUUUGCAUCUUUACUUUCCUUACAUCUGAAGAGUGUGUUACAUAUAUCAUUAUUAAAAAUAAUUUUAAUAAAUUGUUUAAGCAUGUACAAUAAAUAAAGCAUGUAAAUGAGCAUGUAAAAUAAAUAAACAAAAGCAAGUAAAAUAAAUAAAUAAACAAAAUGUAUUGAACCUAAUAGGCUACUAUGUGUGGUGAGUCUGUGUGAUAGUUGCUGAGGAUAAAUGUUUUUAUAUUGGAUUAUUAAAUUACAGAAUACAUUUAUAGGUUUCUCAUCAGCAGGCACUGUCUUCACCUUAGUAAAUUUGGUAACUUUGGUAAGUCCUGUAAAUAAUUGUAAAUUGUUCUGAUUGAGGGCAAAUGGAAAGUGUUAUAAUGUAUUAUUGCUAUUUUAGUGCAUCAUUUUCAUUAUUAUGGCCAUAAAUAAGGCCAAUUAGAAGCUGGUGGGUAGUAAGCGGCAAAAGGGUGGCCCUUUAUCUGGAGCCGCUUCUGAGCCGCCGCUGGACAGCCAGAGAACUGAUGAGCAAAACUCCAGCGGGCCACUGGUGGUUACCGCCGUUGGACCGCCAACUCUGCCGCUGGUUUGUAACAGUAACUUUAGCAUUGCCCAUUAAAUGAUUGCAAAAUAUUUAUUGAGGUGAGUUUAACAAGUGUAAUUUCAUUGGCAUAUAAUUCAGGCCUAUAGUAGAUGGCUAAAUGGCUACAGUAGAAGGAUACACGAAAAGCCCAAACUACCAAAAUCUUCAUAUUUUAUUACCACAGUUUCUAUCUAUAGGCCUCUCUUAUUUGGUAUACUGACUAGACAUUAUUGAACAAACAUAGGCUAUUCAUCUGUAUUUCAGUAUCUCAGUAGCCUAGGUUAAAGUAUUUUUUAGAUACCUCCCUGAAAUUACUUUUUGCAGGUUGUGUUCUAUAUCUGUCUUCUAUACGUUCUGACGUUACUGUUAAAAUGGCGUAACUGUUAAAUUCCAAUAUAGUGAGUAGGCUAUUGGCAAAACCGAUUGGCAUUUUUAUGUUGAGCCGGCAGGGGGCUCAGUUUAAAAAGUAACUAAGUUCGCACACACACAUCAACAGAUUCACACGCACAGAUAAACACACUUCCACGGAUUCCACACACACACACACACACAUGCGCACACAUGCACAUUCACACACACAGACAGACACACACACAUCUUUAUACAAGCAAACUCACACAUGCACACACUCAUGUACACAUGAGCUGCAAGAGUAGGAGAAAUACAUACAGUAUAUUGCACAAAUCGGAGAUAAGGCAGGUUUAGACUUGCUGCAGACAACGCGUUCGUGUUCGUAUCAUGACUGCCUCGCGUAUUUUGCGGUCGUUUGGUGCGUCGGUCGUGCACGUCGUCGCAAGCGAACAUGACGCGUCCGCGAGAUGCAAUACUGAUAAGAAAGUAGGGGGCGAUCACUACAAAAAAAGGUGACUGCAAGAUGCAUUAUCGACAUCGAAGCUGGGGGCAAUCAUGAGAGUAAACAAUGGCACAUGGCCACAUCCACAUCUGAUGUUACUAUUCUCCCCCUAGUGAAGACCUCCAGUAGGGUGCGUAAUGCUGCAGCGAGUCUGUACACCGGACACAGCAGGUCGCACACGGGCGCAUAUGCUUACGGUUGGUCUAACAGCAAGUAUAAUCCCAGCCAUACAGGAAAGUUGACGAGCGUAAUUCGUUUUGGAGAGAAUGUGCAGAACUGA